RNAcentral lists this ribosomal RNA (497 nucleotides) under uncultured bacterium. RNAcentral describes it as "partial 16S ribosomal RNA". It matches the Rfam family "Bacterial small subunit ribosomal RNA", at positions 28 to 507 of the family's 1533-position model. The record is from RNAcentral.
GAUGAACGCUGGCGGCGUGCCUAAUACAUGCAAGUCGAGCGAAAAGACGAGGAGCUUGCUCCUCUGACGUUAGCGGCGGACGGGUGAGUAACACGUGGAUAACCUACCUAUAAGACUGGGAUAACUUCGGGAAACCGGAGAUAAUACCGGAUAAUAUAUUGAACCGCAUGGUUCAAUAGUGAAAGUCGGUUUUGCUGGCACUUAUAGAUGGAUCCGCGCCGCAUUAGCUAGUUGGUAAGGUAACGGGUUACCAAGGCAACGAUGCGUAGCCGACCUGAGAGGGUGAUCGGCGACACUGGAACUGAGACACGGUCCAUACUCCUACGGGAGGCAGCAGUAUGGAAUCUUCCGCAAUGGUCGAAAGCCUGACGGAGCAACGCCGCGUGAGUGAUGAAGGUCUUCGGAUCGUAAAACUCUGUUAUUAGUGAAGAACAAAUGUGUAAGUAACUAUGCACGUCUUGACGGUACCUGAUCAGAAAGCCACGGCUAACUACGUG